RNAcentral lists this ribosomal RNA (308 nucleotides) under uncultured archaeon. RNAcentral describes it as "bacterial SSU rRNA". It matches the Rfam family "Archaeal small subunit ribosomal RNA", at positions 526 to 834 of the family's 1478-position model. The record is from RNAcentral.
CGGCCGGGUGUGUCCUCCGUUAAAUCCACGGGCCUAACCCGUGGGCUGCGGAGGAUACUACCCGGCUUGGGGGUGGGGGAGGGCGGCGGUAUUCCCGGGGUAGGGGUAAAAUCCACUGAUCCCGGGAGGACCACCAGUGGCGAAGGCGGCCGCCCAGAACACGCCCGACGGUGAGGGGCGAAAGCUGGGGGAGCAAACGGGAUUAGAUACCCCGGUAGUCCCAGCUGUAAACGAUGCGGGCUAGGUGUCGGGUGGGCUACGGGCUCACCCGGUGCCGAAGGGAAACCAUUAAGCCCGCCGCCUGGGGA